AGAAAUCUUCACCUAGAUCUCUCUCUCUCUCUCUCUCUCUCUCUCUCUCUCUCUCUCUCUGAAUUAUUCAGAUUGUAUACAAUUACCAUGUGAGAGAGAUCCAUGAGGAAGUAGAAGCAGUAAGUCCUGUCAUGCUUUUCCACAGCUUUCUUGAACUUCUUGCAUCUUAAUUAAUCAAUGUCUCUUUAUAUAUAUGGCAUAUGCAAUCGUAUGUAAAUCAUAUACAUAUAGAAGUUCAAGAAAUCUGUGGGAGAACAUGGCAAGUCUAGGACUUAAUUUGUCAAGUACUGAAUCUCCUAGCUAGCCAGGAAUUACUGCUCGGUGUGGGUUGUUCAGGACCAACUGCUCCAUUGACCGCAUCCGCACUCUUCGACAAGCCAACCAAAGUGCCGAUCACCUAGUGAGACUUGGAGCUGAGCAAGACGAAGAUCUCAUUUUGUGCUUGAAGACGCCAUGGGGACGAGUUGGCUUAGGGAUUAGCCCGAGUUGAUUUUGUAUUGCGUACCGAUCUUGCGUUGUGCUUAUACCCUGCCAUUCCGAAGCACCUAAAUUUUUUUUUCCUCCGAAUCAGCUGAGUAGCAAGAAUGAAAAGGAGUUCACCUCCAACUCUAAGUGGGUGUUUGGUGCUGGUUUUUUUAAUGAAUUCUGGAUUUUU
Long non-coding RNA from Rhododendron vialii, 655 nucleotides. RefSeq lists it as uncharacterized. The transcript has 2 exons. Lineage: Eukaryota; Viridiplantae; Streptophyta; Magnoliopsida; Ericales; Ericaceae. The record is from RefSeq and is a predicted model, not a curated record.